RNAcentral lists this ribosomal RNA (204 nucleotides) under Nectria sp. (in: ascomycete fungi). Its description in RNAcentral is "Nectria sp. (in: Fungi) partial small subunit ribosomal RNA". It matches the Rfam family "Eukaryotic small subunit ribosomal RNA", at positions 1334 to 1562 of the family's 1831-position model. The record is from RNAcentral. Lineage: Eukaryota; Fungi; Ascomycota; Sordariomycetes; Hypocreales; Nectriaceae.
AACGAGACCUUAACCUGCUAAAUAGCCCGUAUUGCUUUGGCAGUACGCUGACUUCUUAGAGGGACUAUCGGCUCAAGCCGAUGGAAGUUUGAGGCAAUAACAGGUCUGUGAUGCCCUUAGAUGUUCUGGGCCGCACGCGCGCUACACUGACGGAGCCAGCGAGUUCUCCCUUGACCGGAAGGUCCGGGUAAUCUUGUGAAACUC